AAAAAAACUUUAUUUAUCGGUUUACAAAACAUAUUAAUAAUAAAUUGUAAAUAUAAAAAAUUACAAGAUGAGUUCAAAAAAAAUUAACGACUAGAUUAAUAAUUACAAAUAUAUAAACAGUAUACUAUAAAAACAAACGGCUCAAUGGAUGGAAUAAAAUUCUAUAUACACAUACAAUAAAUUUCAAAUUAAUUUUUGGCAAGAAUUCAACAACAACUAUUCACAACAAACGUAAACGUAUAUAUUUUUAUUUUCAACCUCAUUUAAAAACAAACGCCAGUGUAUUGGGUGAUUUACAAAACGAAUGAGAGGGCUGCAUAUAUUAAACAUCUAGUUUUGUACGUUUCAUAUCCAUUCCGAAUAAAAAAAAUGCUAAGAUAAUCUUGCUUUCGAUUCAUAGGGAUGCACAAUCGCUGGACAGCUGUUUCUGCCAUUGCAGGCUUCCUCAACAGCGCUAGCGUGCACACCUCUGAAUCGAAAACCAGCUAGCCCAUCUAUUUAACUUUUCUAUCUUUACUCAGAUUUGAGUAUUGGGAAGACCUUUUCCUAGACGAAUGAAAACGCAAUGUGACUGCAUAUAGUAGAGUCCUUUUUGUUUUCUAUAUUCGUCGUCUGCUGUCUUAUAAAUUGUAAAAGUCGCAGAUAAAGGAUGUACCAAAAAGAACUUUCAACAAGAAAAGUUUCAGAUUUAAAUAACUAUUUACCAUUUUAAUUUUUAUUAUAAUGGUGAAUUCUGCAGCUGAGGCUUUUCAGUUUGACUAACAUAAUCGUUUAUUUUUUUUUAAUCAUUUGUUUCAAAUGUUUGGAUGGAAAAAACUUGUUACCACGUAACAGAGAACAAAUUCCACUAAGAAAUAAAACACUAAACUAUUAUUCCUAUGUAAUACUACGUUAUAAAAACGUCAUUCUUAAAAAGCUCUAACUUCCUUUAAGAGUAUUUUUGACAAAAUCAUUUAGUUUUCUUUUCAAGAAAAGAAGUUAAUUAUAUAUUUUCUAGUCUCUUUAUCCUCUAUGUAAGUAUUUUUUUUUGUAAAAAUGUAGGAAAGCAAAUUUGUAAAUCCGUAAUAAACAUAACUAAAAACGUCUGUUCAAUUUAUCUUUUCUUGAUGUUAAAUGCUACAAAAGUUUCACUUUUUCUUUGACCCUCUUUAUUGUAAAUCACCCAAUAUAAAUAGAAAAACCUUAUAAAACAAUGAAAUAAUCUUUAAAAUGUUUAAUGUAAUAUCACAAGGUGUCCGCUGUUUGCUUGAGAAAACUUCAAAGACACACUGUGCAUUGAAUUUCGAUAAUUUAUUAUUGCACAAGCGUUCAAAUACAAUCAAUUUCAAUUUUUUUAACCCUUUCAGUCAUCAUGUAUGUACGCAACUCAGCAAUGAAGUAUAGUUGCCAUCAAGUUAUUUCAUAAAACCUUAAUCUUAAGCUUAUUACAAAAUCAUUUGCAUUUGAGUGGUGUGGUUCAGCUUCCAGCACAGGUAGAAAGUAAUCUAUUGUUUUACUGUAUGUUGUACGUUUAAUUAUUAUACCUGCUAUUCAGUAUGUUUACCUCUCGAAAUUUAACGAUACUACUCAAAUACAAAUGACUUUGUAAUAACGUUAAGAUACGGUUUUCUGCAAUAAUUUGUUGGCAAGUAUACUAAAAAAUGAAACGUUGUUGUAUUGCUGGAGCCUCUACUUGAUAAUCAUCAUCGUUAUCGCUGUUCAAUCAGUGCCCCGCAAUAUUUGAGCCACUUAGAGUCAGAGU
RNAcentral lists this long non-coding RNA (1741 nucleotides) under Diabrotica virgifera virgifera (western corn rootworm). Its description in RNAcentral is "uncharacterized LOC126887206". The record is from RNAcentral. Lineage: Eukaryota; Metazoa; Arthropoda; Insecta; Coleoptera; Chrysomelidae.